GACGAACGCUGGCGGCGUGCCUAAUACAUGCAAGUAGAACGCACAGUUUAUACCGUAGCUUGCUACACCAUAGACUGUGAGUUGCGAACGGGUGAGUAACGCGUAGGUAACCUGCCUGGUAGCGGGGGAUAACUAUUGGAAACGAUAGCUAAUACCGCAUAAUAUUAAUUAUUGCAUGAUAAUUAAUUGAAAGGUGCAAUUGCACCACUACCAGAUGGACCUGCGUUGUAUUAGCUAGUAGGUGAGGUAACGGCUCACCUAGGCGACGAUACAUAGCCGACCUGAGAGGGUGAUAGGCCACACUGGGACUGAGACACGGCCCAGACUCCUACGGGAGGCAGCAGUAGGGAAGCUUCGGCAAUGGACGAAAGUCUGACCGAGCAACGCCGCGUGAGUGAAGAAGGUUUUCGGAUCGUAAAGCUCGGUUGUAAGAGAAGAACGGGUGUGGGAGUGGAAAGUUCACACUGUGACGGUAUCUUACCAGAAAGGGACGGCUAACUACGUG
RNAcentral lists this ribosomal RNA (505 nucleotides) under uncultured bacterium. Its description in RNAcentral is "partial 16S ribosomal RNA". It matches the Rfam family "Bacterial small subunit ribosomal RNA", at positions 28 to 507 of the family's 1533-position model. The record is from RNAcentral.